GAUGAAGAACGCAGCGAAAUGCGAUACUUGGUGUGAAUUGCAGAAUCCCGUGAACCAUCGAGUCUUUGAACGCAAGUUGCGCCCGAAGCCAUUAGGCCGAGGGCACGCCUGCCUGGGCGUCACACGUCGUUGCCCCCCCCAUCUACUCCUUCGGGAUUGCGGGGGGCGGAUGAUGGCCUCCCGUGCGCCUCGCCGCGCGGUUGGCAUAAAUGCCAAGUCCUCGGCGAUGCACGCCACGACAAUCGGUGGUUGCGAAACCUCGGUUGCCCGUCGUGUGCGGUCGUCGCGCAUCGAGGGCUCGAAAAAAUUGCCGGGUUCCGGCUCGGCUUUCAAUGCGACCCCAGGUCAGGCGGGGUUACCCGCUGAAUUUAAGCAUAUCAAUAAGCGGAGGA
This 392-nucleotide unclassified non-coding RNA is filed under the name soil metagenome. RNAcentral's name for it is "partial contains 5.8S ribosomal RNA, internal transcribed spacer 2, and large subunit ribosomal RNA". The stretch from base 1 to 122 matches the Rfam family "5.8S ribosomal RNA", at positions 35 to 154 of the family's 154-position model. The record is from RNAcentral.